This is a long non-coding RNA of Mangifera indica (mango), 850 nucleotides long. RefSeq lists it as uncharacterized. Lineage: Eukaryota; Viridiplantae; Streptophyta; Magnoliopsida; Sapindales; Anacardiaceae. The record is from RefSeq and is a predicted model, not a curated record. The transcript is spliced from 3 exons.
CCUUUAUAUUUAAUCUACCCUUCACUCUCUUCCUAUGCAUAGCGCAAUUCUCAUCAAUUUCGUCACGCAUUGACCCAAGAAAAUGGCAGGGGAGAGGGACAAGAAUGAGAAUGAAUUUACUGACAUAGGGCAAUCUUCACAUCUUGUUGGGUAUGACGUUGGACGCCCCUUCCACAUGGAUCAUAUACCCAACCAUAUCCACAAGGAUAUCCACCUCAGGGAUAUCCCCAACAUGGGUAUCCUCUACAAGCAUAUCCACCGGCUGGCUAUCCUUUUCCUGGUGGAUACCCACCAGCUGGUUAUCCUCCUCCGACUGGAUACCCAUCAGGUAGUUAUCCUCCAGCAGCAUACCCUCCAGCUGCUUAUCAUUCCAUCAGCUCCGCCUUAUCCGGGUCCAUUAGCUGCACAUUAAUUCUGGACAUAGAUCUGGUAUGGGAGCAAUGUUAGCUGGUGGCGCCGCUGCUGCUUAUGGGGCUCACCAUUUGGUCUAUGGUGCUCAUCAUUUUGGGCAUGGAAAAUUCACGCAUAGCAAGUUUAAGCAUGGGAAGUUUGGAAAGCGGUGGAAGCAUGGCAUGUUUGGGAAGCACAAAGGCUUUGGAUUCAAGCAUGGCUUAUUUGUUUGGAUUCAAGAGAUGGAAGUAAUAGUUUCAGCGUGCAAAGCUCAUCUAUCUGGUUUUAUAAGUAUGGUUUUGUUCUUUUAAUUUACAUGAUGUGAGUGUUAUUGAUGACUGAUUCAAUCAUGUACUACAGGUUCUAAUUUAUAGUUGUUGUUAAUACUUCUUAAAUUAAAAAUGUUUUUAAUUUAAUACAUUUCAAUUAUAUAUUAAAAUAUCCUACCUUAAAUCCUUAA